Molecule: long non-coding RNA, 441 nt
Organism: Pseudoliparis swirei
Lineage: Eukaryota; Metazoa; Chordata; Actinopteri; Perciformes; Liparidae
Exons: 2
Source: RefSeq, a predicted model, not a curated record
AGUAAAUGUCAUGUUAAGGCUCGCAGCGACUCGUUCGUGCCCCCUGUUGAACACACGUGACCUUUCGGAGCUCUGCCGAGUCUUACGAGAGACAAUAUGCAAAUAUGCAAAUACGUGGCUCUCUCUCUCUUUCCGUUCCCCGUUCCUGUCUCUUUCUCGGAUUGGUUCUCGAGAAAAAAAAUUUGAGGUAAUUACGGCCGGGGAGGAACGCUCGCCGCCGAGAAGCAGAGUGAGAAGCCGUGCGUCGGCAUGGCGACCGCCACGGUGUUGAUUCUUCUUCUUCUUCUUUUUAAAGCGAGGGAGGAAUCCCUUUCGAAAGAACACCUGUGUUUACCGGAGAGCACCAAACCUAGAAGAACAGAGUGCAAGACAGCGUUAAGUUCCACGAGUUUGACUCUCAUUAGGCCCAUUUUUCAACCAAAUAAAAAACUCCUUUCUGGU